UCAAACUUGGUCAUUUAGAGGAAGUAAAAGUCGUAACAAGGUCUCCGUAGGUGAACCUGCGGAGGGAUCAUUAUCGAGUUCUGGUUUCUCACGAAACCGACCUCCAACCCUAUGUUGUCAAAACCAUGUUGCCUCGGGGAGUUCGUCUCUUCUGGAGAUCUGAGCCCCGGUGGACCAUCAUAACUCUGUUUUAUCUUGAAGUCUGAGAACAAAAGUAAUCUAAUUACACAAAACUUUCAACAACGGAUCUCUUGGUUCUGGCAUCGAUGAAGAACGCAGC
RNAcentral lists this unclassified non-coding RNA (280 nucleotides) under uncultured fungus. Its description in RNAcentral is "partial contains small subunit ribosomal RNA, internal transcribed spacer 1, and 5.8S ribosomal RNA". The stretch from base 1 to 73 matches the Rfam family "Eukaryotic small subunit ribosomal RNA", at positions 1759 to 1831 of the family's 1831-position model. Lineage: Eukaryota; Fungi. The record is from RNAcentral.